This 446-nucleotide ribosomal RNA is filed under the name uncultured bacterium. RNAcentral describes it as "partial 16S ribosomal RNA". It matches the Rfam family "Bacterial small subunit ribosomal RNA", at positions 338 to 795 of the family's 1533-position model. The record is from RNAcentral.
CCUACGGGUGGCAGCAGUCGAGAAUCUUUCACAAUGGGGGAAACCCUGAUGCUGCGACGCCGCGUGGGGGAAUGAAGGUCUUCGGAUUGUAAACUCUUGUCAUGUGGGAGCAAAUUAAAAAGAUAGUACCACAAGAGGAAGCGACGGCCAACGCUGCGCCAGCAGCCGUGGUAAUACGGAGGUCUCAAGCGUUGUUCGGAAUCACUGGGCGUAAGGCGUGCGGAGGCGGUUUCGUAAGUCGUGUGUGAAAGGCACGGGCUCAACCCGCGGACGGCACAUGAUACUGCGUGACUAGAGUACUGGAGAGGGAACCGGAAUUCCCGGUGUAGCAGUGAAAUGCGUAGAUAUCGAGAGGAACACUAGUGGCGAAGGCGGGUUCCUGGACAUUAACUGACGCUGAGGCACGAAGGCCAGGGGAGCGAAAGGGAUUAGAUACCCGUGUAGUC